AUCGCUCGCCUUGCUGCUGCUGGAAUGGUGCCAUCGCAACCAGGUAAGCUCCAAGAGAAUGAGCUAGCCUUUCUUUUCUUGCCUGUUCUUUGCUUAUAGGCGAGCUAGCCGACGAUGACGACGCAGUGAUCCUCACAGAUCCUGAAAUACGAAGGUCGGAGAUACCGUGGCAUUUUUGCAACGACAAAGCUUACCAGGAUCACAUCGCCAAGUUUAACAGCCAAGCUCUCAAGGCUGCCGAUCUCGCUAUCGUGAACACCUGCAUGGAGCUCGAGGGCCAGAUCGUGAGUGACAUAUCGCAGCAAAUGGAUGACAAGUUCUUACCAGUCGGUCCUCUCUUUCUUCUCAACGACGAGCCACACACUGUCGGAUUUGGCGUCUGCGAUACCGAUUGUCUCAAAUGGCUCGACGAGCAGCCGCCAUCUUCCGU
RNAcentral lists this long non-coding RNA (430 nucleotides) under Selaginella moellendorffii. RNAcentral's name for it is "long non-coding RNA (SMOE_LNC001893)". Lineage: Eukaryota; Viridiplantae; Streptophyta; Lycopodiopsida; Selaginellales; Selaginellaceae. The record is from RNAcentral.